Pelobates cultripes (western spadefoot toad) is the source of this 215-nucleotide non-coding RNA. The record is from the annotation of a GenBank genome assembly. Lineage: Eukaryota; Metazoa; Chordata; Amphibia; Anura; Pelobatidae.
AUUUGUCCACCCAGUCUCCCUACCUCUGGGAGAGCUUUAGUGGAUAAUUUCCCUGGGGUCCAGUGUGGUGCUUAUGUAAUCUUCAUGCCCCUCCAGCACUGCUCCCUCGAGCCCUGUUUAGUGAUGUCAUAACCCAGAAUCACCAUAGGACGCAAGGGAGCAGUGCUGGAAGAACACAUUGGCAGUUUCUCACUGUCCGCAUUGUCUCCCCUCCG